Molecule: transfer RNA, 75 nt
Filed under: Cytophagaceae bacterium BCCC1
Lineage: Bacteria; Pseudomonadati; Bacteroidota; Cytophagia; Cytophagales; Cytophagaceae
Description: tRNA-Arg
Rfam family: tRNA
About the family: Transfer RNA (tRNA) molecules are approximately 80 nucleotides in length. Their secondary structure includes four short double-helical elements and three loops (D, anti-codon, and T loops).
Source: RNAcentral
GGCUCCAUAGUUUAAUGGAUAGAACGGAGGUUUCCGGUACCUCUGGUGUGGGUUCGAUUCCCUCUGGGGCUACUA